GACGAACGCUGGCGGCGUGCCUAACACAUGCAAGUCAACUUGACUGAAGGAGCAAUCUGACAGUAGAGUGGCGCAAGGGUGCGUAACGCGUAAGUAACUUGCCCCAAGGUAAGGAAUAACGUCGAGAAAUCGGCGCUAAUACCUCAUAAUGCAGCGGAUCCGCAUGGAUAUGUUGUUAAAGGUUUACCGCCUUGGGAUAGGCUUGCGUCUGAUUAGUUAGUUGGUGUGGUAACGGCACACCAAGGCUACGAUCAGUAACUGGUCUGAGAGGAUGAUCAGUCACACUGGAACUGAGACACGGUCCAGACUCCUACGGGAGGCAGCAGUGAGGAAUAUUGGGCAAUGCUCGAAAGAGUGACCCAGCAACGCCGCGUGGAGGAUGAAGGUAUUCUAUAUCGUAAACUCCUGUGAGAGCAGACGAAAGACAGAUUAUUAAUCUGGAUGACUGUAUGCUCAGAGGAAGCCCCGGCUAACUACGUG
RNAcentral lists this ribosomal RNA (480 nucleotides) under uncultured bacterium. Its description in RNAcentral is "bacterial SSU rRNA". It matches the Rfam family "Bacterial small subunit ribosomal RNA", at positions 28 to 507 of the family's 1533-position model. The record is from RNAcentral.